Long non-coding RNA from Hipposideros armiger (great roundleaf bat), 883 nucleotides. RefSeq lists it as uncharacterized. The transcript is spliced from 3 exons. The record is from RefSeq and is a predicted model, not a curated record. NCBI's taxonomy places the organism in Eukaryota, Metazoa, Chordata, Mammalia, Chiroptera, Hipposideridae.
UGGGCCGUCGUGGCUUCAUGAUCUUAACUCUUACGCUGAGUGUGUGGGGGAGAGAUGACAGCACUUUAUACCAUGGAUGUCAAAACUUUGGUGUCUUGCAACUCCAGGACACGCGAUGAGAUAAAAGUCGGCGCCUCAGAGACGACCACCGGCAGACUGGUAGCUGUUCCGUGACAAAGCUGCUUGCCCAGGAGGGCGUCCCCUGCGUGGGACGCGCUGCUGGAGUCCUACACAAGAUGUCCUCGUGUGGCAACAGGGCCAUCAAGAAAGGACCCUGGGGCAGCACCCUAGAGGUUUUCAGAGCGGCUGUGAGGCUUUCAGGGCAGUUGACUUCCAACGUGCACAGGCGACUUCGGCAGGCCCCAGUGUGUUCCGGAACGCCCGUCUUAGGAAACUUACUAAAUCAAGUUGACUGGAGAUCUCGAGGUGCAGGUUCAUUCCAGGAAGACAGGGCUGCUUGUCACGCUGCCCGCCUGCCGCGUUCCUGCUCUCAGCAUACACAUGGGGUGGGGGCGUCACCCUCCAAAAUAGAAAAGGUGCUAAAAGAUGGUAAUUGGGGAGCGGGUCAUCUUUAGGGGAAAUGACUGCCUUUUAAUCUUCUGAGUGGAGGUGGCAGCAAGUUACUGGAAAUGGCAGAUGGAGGUCUGUUGGGGCCUCCCUGGGGGUCGCCAGCAGGCUGCCCAGGGGUGAUGCUGUCAUCAGUUUGGGGAGAAGCUUUUUGCUCCAGGAAAGAGAGAAAGGCAGGGAUGGGCAGGGGAGAGAGAGAGAAAGAGAGGGAGAUGUGUUUCUCUUUGAUGUCGUUCAGGCGGAAAGCCAAUCUGCACAUGUAAAUGAACUUGAAAAUGCAAUUAAAAAUAUAUACAUAUCAGAGCCUGUGAUCCAG